This 200-nucleotide ribosomal RNA is filed under the name uncultured Paraglomeraceae. RNAcentral describes it as "partial small subunit ribosomal RNA". It matches the Rfam family "Eukaryotic small subunit ribosomal RNA", at positions 591 to 790 of the family's 1831-position model. Lineage: Eukaryota; Fungi; Glomeromycota; Glomeromycetes; Paraglomerales. The record is from RNAcentral.
CCAAUAGCGUAUAUUAAAGUUGUUGCAGUUAAAAAGCUCGUAGUUGAAUUUCGGGAGCCGCGUGUCGGUUGGGCUUAAUUGUCCAUCACUGGCGUCGCGGGUCUCUUACCUUCUGGCGAGGUCAGAUGUCAUUUAUUUGGUGUCUGGCGGAACCAGGACUAUUACCUUGAAAAAAUUAGAGUGUUUAAAGCAGGCUUUAU